RNAcentral lists this ribosomal RNA (738 nucleotides) under uncultured Promicromonospora sp. RNAcentral describes it as "bacterial SSU rRNA". It matches the Rfam family "Bacterial small subunit ribosomal RNA", at positions 8 to 760 of the family's 1533-position model. Lineage: Bacteria; Bacillati; Actinomycetota; Actinomycetes; Micrococcales; Promicromonosporaceae. The record is from RNAcentral.
AGAGUUUGAUUAUGGCUCAGGACGAACGCUGGUGGCGUGCUUAACACAUGCAAGUCGAACGGUGAUGCCCAGCUUGCUGGGUGGAUCAGUGGCGAACGGGUGAGUAACACGUGAGCAACCUGCCCCCUACUUCGGGAUAAGCCUUGGAAACGAGGUCUAAUACCGGAUAUGAGCAUCUGCCGCAUGGUGGGUGUUGGAAAGUUUUUCGGUAGGGGAUGGGCUCGCGGCCUAUCAGCUUGUUGGCGGGAUAAUGGCCUACCAAGGCGUCGACGGGUAGCCGGCCUGAGAGGGCGACCGGCCACACUGGGACUGAGACACGGCCCAGACUCCUACGGGAGGCAGCAGUGGGGAAUAUUGCACAAUGGGCGAAAGCCUGAUGCAGCGACGCCACGUGAGGGAUGACGGCCUUCGGGUUGUAAACCUCUUUCAGCAGGGAAGAAGCGAGAGUGACGGUACCUGCAGAAGAAGCGCCGGCUAACUACGUGCCAGCAGCCGCGGUAAUACGUAGGGCGCAAGCGUUGUCCGGAAUUAUUGGGCGUAAAGAGCUCGNAGGCGGUCUGUCGCGUCUGGUGUGAAAUCCCAUGGCUCAACUGUGGGCUUGCAUCGGGUACGGGCAGACUAGAGUGCUGUAGGGGAGACUGGAAUUCCUGGCGUAGCGGUGGAAUGCGCAGAUAUCAGGAGGAACACCGAUGGCGAAGGCAGGUCUCUGGGCAGUUACUGACGCUGAGGAGCGAAAGC